AUACUUAUAUUCCUGUGAUAUCAAAUACCAAAUUGAACUUCGUAUCUUAUAUGCAUACUGUCAGUCAUUCCAACAAGUUGACUUAGUGCUGAGUCCAUUUCUAUCCAUCAGAUCCUCAUGCAGUCAAAAGCCUAAAACUCAUGUUUGAAGCACCCAUAUUUUGGAAUACAAAUGUGUAGAGAUAAGGAUCUUUUCUGAAUCUCACAAUUUUGGUGGCGUACCCUGUAACAGCAUGUUUGUUGUUGUUGAUGUUUUUACUUCUUUUUAGAAGGCAACCCAGCUAAGAGAUAGAGUUUCAGUGACAUGAAGAGUGUGAAGUGAACCACCUAUC
Molecule: long non-coding RNA, 331 nt
Organism: Daphnia pulex (common water flea)
Lineage: Eukaryota; Metazoa; Arthropoda; Branchiopoda; Diplostraca; Daphniidae
Exons: 4
Source: RefSeq, a predicted model, not a curated record